This 22-nucleotide non-coding RNA is filed under the name Mus musculus (house mouse). The record is from RNAcentral. Lineage: Eukaryota; Metazoa; Chordata; Mammalia; Rodentia; Muridae. RNAcentral also lists the same sequence under 1 other name.
UGUAUUUUGAUUCCAGAUGUGU